Molecule: ribosomal RNA, 1029 nt
Filed under: uncultured archaeon
Lineage: Archaea
Description: bacterial SSU rRNA
Rfam family: Archaeal small subunit ribosomal RNA
Source: RNAcentral
CCUACGGGGUGCAGCAGGCGCGAAAACUUUACAAUGCGGGCAACCGUGAUAAGGGAACCUCGAGUGCCUGUAUAUGCAGGCUGUCUGGGUGUCUAAAACACACCUAAAGAAAGGGCCGGGCAAGACCGGUGCCAGCCGCCGCGGUAAUACCGGCGGCUCGAGUGGUGGCCACUUUUAUUGGGCUUAAAGCGUUCGUAGCUGGGUUAUUAAGUCCCUUGGGAAAUCCGACGGCUUAACCGUCGGGCGUCUAAGGGAUACUGGCAAUCUUGGAACCGGGAGAGGUGAGGGGUACUUCGGGGGUAGGAGUGAAAUCCUGUAAUCCUCGAGGGACCACCUGUGGCGAAGGCGCCUCACCAGAACGGCUUCGACAGUGAGGGACGAAAGCUGGGGGAGCAAACCGGAUUAGAUACCCGGGUAGUCCCAGCCGUAAACGAUGUGCGUUAGGUGUAUCGGUGACCACGAGUCACCGAGGUGCCGAAGGGAAACCGUGAAACGUACCGCCUGGGAAGUACGGUCGCAAGGCUGAAACUUAAAGGAAUUGGCGGGGGAGCACCACAACAGGUGGAGCCUGCGGUUUAAUUGGACUCAACGCCGGAAAUCUCACCGGAUAAGACAGCUGAAUGAUUGUCGGGCUGAAGACUCUACAUGACUAGCUGAGAGGAGGUGCAUGGCCGUCGUCAGUUCGUACUGUGAAGCAUCCUGUUAAGUCAGGCAACGAGCGAGACCCACGCCAACAGUUGCCAGCAUGGCCUCCGGGCUGAUGGGGGACACUGUUGGGACCGCCUCUGCUAAAGAGGAGGAAGGAAUGGGCAACGGUAGGUCAGCAUGCCCCGAAUUAUCCGGGCUACACGCGGGCUACAAUGGGCAGGACAAUGGGUAUCGACACCGAAAGGUGAAGGCAAUCUCUUAAACCUGUCCGUAGUUCGGAUUGUGGGCUGUAACUCGCCCACAUGAAGCUGGAAUCUGUAGUAAUCGCGUUUCAACAUAACGCGGUGAAUGUGUCCCUGCUCCUUGCACACACCGCCCGUC